GGGAGUGAAAUAGAACCUGAAACCCUGCACUUACAAGCUGUGGAAGCACAUUUCUUGUGUGACCGCGUACUUUUUGUAGAACGGGCCAACGAGUUACGUUAAGUAGCAAGGUUAAGCACUUAAGGUGCGGAGCCGUAGCGAAAGCGAGUUUUAACUGAGCGUUCAGUUACUCGACGGAGACACGAAACCGGGCGACCUACCCAUGAGCAGGAUGUGGCGAAAGUAAAAUUUCGUGGAGGUCCGCACCCACGAGCGUUGAAAAGCGCGGGGAUGACGUGUGGGUAGCGGUGAAAUUCCAAUCGAG
Molecule: ribosomal RNA, 304 nt
Filed under: Clostridioides difficile
Lineage: Bacteria; Bacillati; Bacillota; Clostridia; Peptostreptococcales; Peptostreptococcaceae
Description: bacterial LSU rRNA
Rfam family: Bacterial large subunit ribosomal RNA
Source: RNAcentral